UACGGAGGGUGCGAGCGUUGUCCGGAUUUAUUGGGUUUAAAGGGUGCGUAGGCGGCUUUUUAAGUCUGGGGUGAAAGCCCGCUGCUCAACAGCGGAACUGCCCUGGAUACUGGAGAGCUUGAGUACAGACGAGGUUGGCGGAAUGGACUGAGUAGCGGUGAAAUGCAUAGAUACAGUCCAGAACCCCGAUUGCGAAGGCAGCUGACUAGGCUGUUACUGACGCUGAGGCACGACAGCGUGGGGAGCGAACAGG
RNAcentral lists this ribosomal RNA (253 nucleotides) under uncultured bacterium. Its description in RNAcentral is "partial 16S ribosomal RNA". It matches the Rfam family "Bacterial small subunit ribosomal RNA", at positions 524 to 776 of the family's 1533-position model. The record is from RNAcentral.